Long non-coding RNA from Stylophora pistillata, 572 nucleotides. RefSeq lists it as uncharacterized. Lineage: Eukaryota; Metazoa; Cnidaria; Anthozoa; Scleractinia; Pocilloporidae. The record is from RefSeq and is a predicted model, not a curated record.
AUAAAUGAUCGUGUUUCUCCUCUAAGACAAUGCAACACAAACUAAAUGUUCUCAGUCAGUACUCGAUUGGAAUCUCUUUUUGCUUUGGAAAUAUGAAUAGGACAUUUUCUUGGAUGUUUUUAGCGCUAGUUUUGCUAUCUUUUGCAUGCUGGGGAAGCACAUUUUCACCCAAUAUGAACUGUCCUUCACACGUGUGCCGAAAACGAAAAGUGGCGCGAAAAUUCAGUGAGCAACAGGAGGAUUAUAUAAAAGCAUAUUGUGACAGGGUCCGUCCGUGUAAUGGGGCAAACGAAAAACGAAGUCCUCUUCGCGGAGAAGCUCCAGUUGAGAGAGACCGGGAACAGCUCUGACUUUGAAGCCAAGAUGACUAUCACUACAGCUAGAGGAAGAUCAAAAAUUUAUUCAAACCACUGCAUAUUUUCUUUAACUUAUGUAUAAGAUAAAAAAAGAAUAUAUGAAUAUUCAUGUCUGUAAUUUUAAACUUGAGAUAGUAGAUUGUGUGGAUCAGGUAUUAUUUUUAAGACUCCAGUCACGUGUAUCAAAUAAAGAAUCGAUUCUAUUUCUUGACAUAA